GUUUCCCGAAGGGUGAGAUGUGAACAUCGGCACCAUGCUAGGUGCUGGGGAAACAGCCAUGAGCCAGGCAGCGAAACUCAGCCCGUGUGGGGUUCACGUUCUCCUGCGGGAAGAUGGACCGUGAAUGCAGAAACGAGUGCGACAUACGGCGUGUCCAACUGUGCGUGCCAUGGAAGAAGGGACAGGAAUCCGCUCCCGGCCUGGGGACAGCAGAAGGGGCAGCCUUGCUGGGAUGAAGAGCCUAGAAGUGGCAAUGAGGGAGCGGGAAGCAGCGAGAGAUCUGACCUUUGACUCUGCGCCUGGGCUCCUAGAUGCCUGACGCCGGGGAAGAGCUGCCCGCCCCACCCUGUCCCUGCUGCUCCAGGCCCCUGAGGGAAGGGCUGGAGUCUGGUGAGCUGUCUCCAGCAGCUCCUGGCCUGUCGGGGCUGGAAGGCUGGAGAGGGGUGAGCGGCUGAGCCGCAGCGAGGCAGGAUGGUGGCUCUGGGCCCCCAGGUCCUGCUCAGACCCAUGGGGGCGCGGAAGCCCACCCUUGGCCCCUCCAUCUGCCCUUGUGCCCUGUCUGCUGCCUCCGCCCUGCCUGCCUUCCCGCCAUGCACUUCCCAGCCCCUCAUGUCUCCUCCCAUCUCCAGCCUUUGCAUGAGCUGUUCCCAAGGCCGGGACCCCCUUCCCCUGCUUUCAGACUCCUACUCGCCGCCUAAGGCCCUCCCAGAAAAGCCCACCCUGUGAUCUGGCUCUGUGCUCCCACAGCCCAGUGCAACGCUCAUCUCUGGACCCCGCCAGGCUCUGAGACCCUGAGGCCCGGGACCCAGGCGGUGCCAGCUGUGUCACCCAGGAACUGUGGGUUCCCAGCAAAUGCUUCCUGAAAGCAGGAAGGAAGGCAGGAACAUGUCUUCCCAAACUUCGCAUGUCUCUAAAGGAGGACGAUGUCUCUAGU
This is a long non-coding RNA of Lemur catta (Ring-tailed lemur), 934 nucleotides long. RefSeq lists it as uncharacterized. The transcript has 4 exons. The record is from RefSeq and is a predicted model, not a curated record. NCBI's taxonomy places the organism in Eukaryota, Metazoa, Chordata, Mammalia, Primates, Lemuridae.